GGGCCCGCACAAGCGGUGGAGCAUGUGGUUUAAUUCGAUGCAACGCGAAGAACCUUACCAGGGUUUGACAUCCUGCGAAUCUCUUGGAAACGAGAGAGUGCCUUCGGGAACGCAGUGACAGGUGGUGCAUGGCUGUCGUCAGCUCGUGUCGUGAGAUGUUGGGUUAAGUCCCGCAACGAGCGCAACCCACGUCUUUAGUUGCCAUCAUUAAGUUGGGCACUCUGAAAGAACUGCCAGUGAUAAGCUGGAGGAAGGUGGGGAUGACGUCAAGUCCUCAUGGCCCUUACGUGUUGGGCUACACACGUGCUACAAUGGUAUCUACAACAGGAAGCAAGACUGCGAGGUCAAGCAAAUCCUUAAAAGAUACCUCAGUUCGGAUUGCACUCUGCAACUCGAGUGCAUGAAGCUGGAAUUACUAGUAAUCG
RNAcentral lists this ribosomal RNA (425 nucleotides) under uncultured bacterium. RNAcentral describes it as "bacterial SSU rRNA". It matches the Rfam family "Bacterial small subunit ribosomal RNA", at positions 917 to 1344 of the family's 1533-position model. The record is from RNAcentral.